AUCACUUUUUAAAAUUUUGUUUAUUUGUUUAUUUAUUUGAUUUAUUUACUAAUUUACUUAUUUAUGUAUUUGCUUACUUAAGAUUUACGAAAGGACAUCUUUACAAAUCUUAAACUCAGCACGUGACGAAUUUUUAUAGUUAGGAGUAGGGGUGGACAGGAUGACGAUUUUUCAAUACCAUCGAUGCCGAUAUUUUUUUAAUGUUCAAAGGUUUCAGCCACAGGUUACGUGCACUUCAAGAUACCAAGAAACUUGUGGAAAUGAAUAUAUUUUUUCUGAUUUCACAGAAGGAACAGUCCUCGUCCAGCCCACCACCACCACCACCACCACCACCAAUAAUCCAACAGAAGCUGCGACGGGAGAGGAGACGAGUUCAAAGAUGCCUUCACUGUGUCUGAGAUUCGCCUCCGUGUCCCCAUUAACAGCAUCUUGCAUCUCUCCGUGCUUACGUGUGCUACAGAAAUAAAUAUGAAAGGGAAACUAGAACAAAGAGGAUACAAAACUGCCUUGAUUAGAAAUUAUCCGAAAAUAAGAUUGUACUAUCCAUGCAAGUAUCAUUUAACGAACUGUUCAUAAAAAAAAACUCAGGAUGUUCUUUCAGUUAUUAUGUACUUUGAGAAAACUUGAUUUGCUUAACCUAUAAUGCUUGCGUCACUGAGGAGUCUCCAUGAAGAUCAGAAAUAUAAACAAUAAGAAUGUCUGGGUUUAUUAAAGAAAUGUUUCCUGAAAUUCUUGAGGCUCUUCCAUCAAGACCUUCGCUGCCAGCACUAUUCAAUAAAUCUUGGCCACGGAA
Molecule: long non-coding RNA, 793 nt
Organism: Scylla paramamosain (green mud crab)
Lineage: Eukaryota; Metazoa; Arthropoda; Malacostraca; Decapoda; Portunidae
Exons: 2
Source: RefSeq, a predicted model, not a curated record